GCGACCCCAGGUCAGGCGGGAUUACCCGUUGA
Molecule: ribosomal RNA, 32 nt
Filed under: Citrus sinensis (sweet orange)
Lineage: Eukaryota; Viridiplantae; Streptophyta; Magnoliopsida; Sapindales; Rutaceae
Description: partial 28S ribosomal RNA
Source: RNAcentral